UACGAAGGGGGCUAGCGUUGCUCGGAAUCACUGGGCGUAAAGCGCACGUAGGCGGGCCUUUAAGUCAGGGGUGAAAUCCUGGAGCUCAACUCCAGAACUGCCUUUGAUACUGAAGAUCUUGAGUUCGGGAGAGGUGAGUGGAACUGCGAGUGUAGAGGUGAAAUUCGUAGAUAUUCGCAAGAACACCAGUGGCGAAGGCGGCUCACUGGCCCGAUACUGACGCUGAUGCACGAAAGCGUGGGGAGCAAACAGG
This 253-nucleotide ribosomal RNA is filed under the name uncultured bacterium. RNAcentral describes it as "partial 16S ribosomal RNA". It matches the Rfam family "Bacterial small subunit ribosomal RNA", at positions 524 to 776 of the family's 1533-position model. The record is from RNAcentral.